UACGUAGGGUGCGAGCGUUGUCCGGAAUUAUUGGGGGUAAAGGGCUCGUAGGCGGUCUGUCACGUCGGGAGUGAAAACACGGGGCUUAACCCCGUGCCUGCUUCCGAUACGGGCAGACUAGAGGUAUGCAGGGGAGAACGGAAUCCCUGGUGUAGCGGUGAAAUGCGCAGAUAUCAGGAGGAACACCGGUGGCGAAGGCGGUUCUCUGGGCAUUACCUGACGCUGAGGAGCGAAAGUGUGGGGAGCGAACAGG
RNAcentral lists this ribosomal RNA (253 nucleotides) under uncultured bacterium. RNAcentral describes it as "partial 16S ribosomal RNA". It matches the Rfam family "Bacterial small subunit ribosomal RNA", at positions 524 to 776 of the family's 1533-position model. The record is from RNAcentral.